Molecule: ribosomal RNA, 116 nt
Organism: Danio rerio (zebrafish)
Lineage: Eukaryota; Metazoa; Chordata; Actinopteri; Cypriniformes; Danionidae
Source: Ensembl
AGCUACAGCCAUAUCACCCUGCAGCCCAAGACCAGUAACUCACUGAGCUUAACAGGGCUGAGCCUGGUCAGAACCUGGAUGGGAGACCACAGGGCAAAAUUUGGUUGCUGUUGGAA